UUGAUGAACGGAGGCAAAUAGAACCGUGAGUAAUGAUCAGUUAUUAUUGACUGCCACACUUUCAAAUCCAGUUUGACAAUCUGAUUUAUUAAGAAAAAGAUAUUAAUCUAUUUCAGUAAAUCCUUGCAUGAUUGUAUAAAUGAAUGGUGUAAGCUAUGGAUCCAUGGAUAGAAUGUCUCAAUUUUUUAAUCAUCUGCUCUGCUCUCUGCUUUUCAGAAUGGACGUGCUUGUGCUGAUUUAAGGAUUCUUCCAGAAUCCCAAGCUGUAUGGUUGCGUCUUUGUAUCAGGAGCAUGGAGAACAUCGUGAGUAAUGAAGUUCUUGACGUGGUUUAGGUGGGUUCUAAAAAAUUAUUCACUGUGUUAUUAAAAAGUAUUGCAUAUAAUCAAAGAGUCCCAACCAUACUGAUGUUUAGUAUCAGAUUAACAUGAACCUUGACAUUGAGUAAGCCGUCAGUGGACAUUGAUUUCUGUUCAGUGAAAGAGACAGUUAAAAGGAAUGACUACAGGGGGAUGUUAUGGGAUAUUCAAGAAUCUUAUUUUGCAUUAAUGAAUGAAUAAGCAAAUAUAGAUGAGACUGCAAAGAAAGAUGGCCAGUCAUGGUCUAAAGAUGGUGAGUGUCCUAUGUCAUAUGUGAGAAAUUCUGUGUGUCUGGAACUUUGAGGUCCAGCACCAAAGGUCUCUAGUACACUCACCCUGUUUUAAGGGACUGUAAAUAGAUUUCAGGAUUAUACAGUGAUCUUCUUCUUGGUCUUUGCGUUCAUGAAUUUUAAAAAUAUAAUUAUAAAAGAAUCCAUGGCAGAAUAAAUUAGCAAAUGUGUAAAUGAAUAAAGAUGAAGAGGGUGAAGCAUUGUUCAUCAAUAAAAUAUGUAGUCAGGAAAUGAAUAUUAAUAUAUAUAUUGGAAUAGAUAAUAAAGGGCCCAAAUAUAUUAUGUCGUGAAUUAAGCGUGAUAUGGACAGUGAUAAGUAGUAGUUACUGCCCUGAGUCCGUUGCGGGUUUGAUAUUUAUUGUACUGAAAGAAAAAUAAAAAUUCCUGUGGAUUAAUAAACACAGGGUUAUGCACAUGGAGGAUGGAAAGUGUGGGUAAAAGGGGAGAGAAGAAUGUCUCAACUUUUUUUUUAUCAUUGUGUCUGCUGGGUACCCCUCAGAACGGCUGCAUCAAACUGAUCUUAGGUUCUGCCGCAGUCAAGAUUAUGUUGCCUAAUGUGUUGUCUACCAUGGACCAUUAGCAGAUGCUGAAAAGAGAACAGGUAAGUGAUAGCGUCGCCAAAACUCCACCUCUGUCCACUGGUGCCAAAUACAAAUGCGGAGCCAGAGUUGUGCCCAAAGGAUAAACAACUAUCUUUAUGGCUUUGCCAGGCAAAGGGGCCAUGGCAGGCUAAGGUCCUAAAGCCUGUGCCCUCCCUUUGGAAGAGAAGAGGAAGUGGUUCUACAGUUUGGCAGCAGGAAGUAGGGCCACUGAUCAGGAUCCGGUUAAGUGCGAGCUUGCACUCUUCUUCAAAGGUGUUUAGUGGCCCAGGGCUGGUUCUGGUGGUUGUCUUCUCUUGUUUACAUUUUUGGGGGGUUUUAAUGAUGCAGAACUCAAAGGUAUUCCUAUCUAUAGUCCUUGAGGAGGAACCAGGACCCUGCCCCAAGGCUGCAUUGUUGUUUCUCGAUGGCUCCUCCCUGGUCUCUGCAUCCCCUCCCUUCCCUGAUUAGCAACUGUUUGAACCCGUCCCUAGGAACUCAGGGAAGGUCGUGGAGGCUCAAGUUUACUCUCUAAAAACAAGAAAUGGGGGACACAGAAAGCAGAGCCCACAGGGUUCUGCUUGGUGUCAACAGUAGUCAAAGAUCUCAUCUUGCUUACAGUCAUUUGUUUAAGUGCAUUCCUGGCGUUAUUAAAACGUAUGAAAUACGCUUUUGAUGAAGUUACCCAUUGCCCAAUAAGAGAUGUCAUAGGAAACAUCCUAUGGGCUAAUUGAUGCUGAAGGCAUUUAAUGAAAAAGUAUAGUACAUGUGGGAAAAGAUUCUACAGGCAGACUUUAAGAAUAUCUAAGGGUCUUGUUCUUGGGUUUUCUUAAAUAAUGUGUUUCUGUUAAUAUCCAUGAAUUGAUGAUUUAAUCGAUACACAUGUGAAACAAAUGAAGAAAAUGAGGGGCUAACGUGGACCGUUAACAGGUGAUGAGUAAUACAUGUAUGGGACUCUGAAGUUCAAAGUGAGACCUUGUCUAUUCCCUCUGUUUGAAAUGAUCCUGGGGCAGAUGUCAGUAGUAUACGAAUAUCAUGUCCUUAUUUUAGAUUCAUAGAUUUAGAUUUACUGUUAGUCGUGACGCAACGAUAGAACCAGUCAACAAAUAUAAAUCAGUAAAGAGGAAGGUGAAGCAUUUUUCAACAUGAACAUAUGUGGUGAGGCAAAAAAUACUACCAGUUAACAGAAAACAUUAAUGUUCAUUAAGAAAGAAUUCCAGAAUGUCACCUCUUUGGUUUAGGAUCACAUAGACAUUGCCUAGUAAGAGCCAAUUUUUGGUCUGGAUAAGCGCCAAGUUUGAAGUUAUUCCUUUUAUAAACAAACAAAAAAAAAGAGAUUCAUUUUGGAAAAGUAAUAAAUACCUCAAUGAGUAAUGGAAAUACAGAAAUCAAGGAUCAAUGGAGAUGAGGUCCGAUUUUUUUUUUUUUUUUUUAAAUUUCUUGGUCUGCUUUGUACUCUUCAGGAUAAAUGCGCUGGAGUAGAUUUAAGCAUCUCCCAUGGUCAGGGGCUCUUUGGACGCGUCUGUGUUAGGAGCCUCAAGACCCGUAACAGUCCGUCUUGUGCUGAUUUUAGCACUCUGCCCUGGCCUCAUACUCAGUGGUUUCUUAGGAGCGUGGAGAUCGUAACGGACAGGCGCUGAUAAUCAUGCCGCAAUGAUCAAGACCCACAUGGUUCAAGGAUGUGUGCCCCACAGCUGAUUAAAUUAUUCCCCAGUCAUGGAGAGCCGCCACCUUGUUCCUCGGAGAAAGGGCCAUGUCAUGUCAUGUGAGUAAUAAAGUUCUUGGUUUGGGUGGGGAGCGCCCGGGCUUCUAUGGAAUCAUUAAAAAAGAGGAAAUGUACUUAAACGUGUCCAUGUCAUGCAUAGAGCACGCGCGGAUGAGCAUGUGCUGGGAACCAGCAUUUAUGAUGAAUGCAAUUUAGCACAGACGAGGCCCCCGAUGACCCCGUAGCUUUCCUUUGUUUCAAAACGGAAGCAUCUCAUUUUAUGUUUGUCGCAUUGGUUAUUUAAACAUCCUCCUCUUGAUAAAAACCCAGGCAGCUGCUCAUUUAGGGAGUCGGUACUCGGUUGUGGAGUAAGAUGGCAGGUUCACGGCUGUUCUUUGUAACGUCUGAAACUUGUUCGAAUUAAAUGCGGAAGGGGCACGCCUGGACCAAUGAUGUAAAGGGAAUGCAUCUGAAUAAAAAUUAUGAUCAGUCAUGUUUGAACCACUGAGGUCCACGGCGAAAAGAGAGCUGGUGUAUAACUUGCGGGGGGGUGACCUCAGGGAAGUGAGACUCUAGUUGAGAGGGUUCAUGGACAUUGGUUUUAUAUUACUACUGGAUAAAUGAAUGGGUCAAUAAACAGAUACGUGUGAAAGAAAAGAAAGAGGUCAGAACACAGACCAAUUUUGAAGCUGUGAAAGAAAACAAGGAAUAUUACUUCAGUUCUGUAACACCUUGGUCCAUUAAGAAAACAUAUACCUGAAGUGUUACCACUUUAUGUUAGAAGCAGCUAAAAAGAGGUGUUUAAUAGUCAAUGCUUUGCUCUUAGUUUGAAGUAGAUUACUAGCUGUUUGACUCAGGAAGAAAUGAGGAUUAAACAAAUGGUUAACUAAGUGGAUGGGUGCAAAAUAUGAACCAUUGAUGGAUGUAUUGUAUUCUUUUUGACAUCUGCUUUGUGCCCCAGAAUGGCUGCACCUUGUUUGUUUCCGUCCUUAUUUAAUGAUGAAGAUCUUGGCUCUUACCUUUGUGGCCAAGGAGAGCAGAGAGAUUGGGGAAAGGUAGCAGUGUGUGCCCUUGGAGAAGCCACCGGGACCCUCCACGUUCCACUGCCAUCGUCCUUAAAAGGGAAGUCAAUUUCAUUCAUUCUGCAGACACCUUCAAAGGGCUCUGAGCUGGGCACGUGAGUGAGCACAUGACCCCAGCGUGGCACUCUUGGACCCCGGGGUGCGUGCGCAUUGUGUCACACGUCCUGCGCCCCCAAACCCGAGAGGUGCUGCCAGUUGUCCCUUCGCGGAGGGUCCUUCCUUUCACCGACUGAGUCUUGGGCUGGAGCCCGUGACUGCCCGGCUUGGCCUCAGUUUCCCCGUCUCUAGACCUAGAGCAAGGCUGAUGACCCCAGGUCCCCCAUCGCACCGUGUCCGCGCGGAGGGGAGGAAAGACCUCUCCCCGUUUCACUGCGGUCCUGACCCUCCUCUUUUCUGUCCUUCCGGACCCCUGAGCCUCAGUUGCAAUUUGGGGGCCAGUUUGAUUUUCUUUUCCCUCUGAUCUGAGGCGUCUCCUACCAGCACGUGUUUUUUUUUUUUUUUUUUUUUUUUUUUUUUUUUAACUCAGCACAAGGAGAGUCCGGCGAACUUGGCAGGGGCUGGACCUCAUGCCCAGCAGAUAUUCCCGGAGUCGGCAGGCGCUACUGCCCCUUUGUCGAGGUCCCUGUGCCCCUUGGGUCACUCUGCUGCUUUUCUGCAUCUCUGCGCCUCUGCCCGCUCCCGUUCAUACCCGCCCUCUCUAUACCCACCAGUCCCUCCCCUCUGCCCCCACUGCUCUGCAGGUCAUGUAUCCAAAUAUUCAGUACCCGGCAUGGUCGGCCCACACGCCUUGGCUCAGCUGUCAAUCCAGCGGGUGGCGCUCAUCAGACUUGAAGGAGCCAAACUUAAAGGGGGGGGGUCCCACCAAAGGAGUCCCAGAACUGCAGAGGGCCACUGAGUCCUUCACUUCACACCUCUCCCUGCUCUUCCCCCCCCACCCCGCUCCUUCCCUCCACCCCUUCUCAGGGACUGCAUUGUAUGCAGAGGCAGAGGAGGGGGCUGUGGGGCGGGGUUGCCUGGAGACGAGGUCCCCCACCUAGUGGCCAUUCUCUGGGAUGCGGCAGGGCACAGAGGAAAGAUGACCUAGAAAGUGCUGGGCAGAUGUUGGAGAAAGGAGGGAGGGGGAGGCCCUUCUUGGACCCCCAGCCCACCUCGGCCCUCCCUUCCCCCAUCUCCCCUGGAGUGGGCUAAGCCGGUGGGUCUUGCUGUGAAGCCCCCAGUGCUGCAGGGGGCUCAUCAUUGCCCUUCUUGCGGAGAAGCAAACUGAGCUUAGGGGAGCAUGGCGAACCCAGCCCUGCCCUGAGCUCAGUGUGUGUCCCCUGGCCCCAGGUAGGGAAGUGUGGGGCAGGGGAUGCUCUGUGCCCAGAGCCUGGGUGUCUGCCACCUCCCUCUGUGGGAGCAGAGGCACUGUCCCCUCUCAUGUGUGGGUUUGGGUCCUGAGAGCAUCACAGCACAUGUUCAUGCUUUGUUCAUCAGGACAAGAGAACUUGAAACUUUCCUGGCCAGGUUUACCCAUUUGGUGGCCUUUCAUGAAAUCCCUGCAGGGCAGCAUCUGGAAAAUUCACUUCCCUGCUCCUGACAGUUGCCCCAAAUAGCAUGUUUCAAGUCGCAGACACACGGGUUUGCUUCUGGCCCGGCCCAUCAGGGGCGAGGGUCCAGGACCCCCUGUGGCCAACCUGAGCUUGCCCACCGCCCCAGAGCCCCCAACCCCUGGCCUCCACAACCUCAGGGAGAACCCCAGUGGGGCCUUCUCUGUUGUUGAGAGCAGCCCUCUUCUUUCCCAGCAGAGAGAGCCUGGCUGAGCGUGGCUCCCAGGCCGGAAUGGAGUGCAGAUCCCUGCUGACCCGGGCAGGCAGUCAAUAGCUCUGAACCUAGGGUCGGGGGGAGUUACCAGGAUGGGCCUCAGCCUCCAAUGUCAGGGUGAAGGGGCGUCCCCGGGACGUCUGCUCCACCCUGGGGGAGGCACGCUACAGUUAGUGUCCUGGCUCUGGGUUGGAGCUCUGGCGGGCUUCUGCAUGUGCAUUAAAUUCUUUAAAAGUUGAAUAAAGAGAAUAAAAUGAAAGAGCCAUUCAUGGACCAGCGAUGACUAGUGCCAUGGAAUGAAGACGGAACAGUCCAAUUCCGUGCGUCCUUGAAUGCAGUGGACAGUAGCAGUAAUACCAGCAAUAGUGGUAACUGGCUGGGUAGAAGUCAGGGGCCCCGCCCCGAUCGGCUGGGCCAGUCCCAGAGACCCCUGGGCUCUUUAUCUCAGUGACUGUCCCAGCUGCUGGAAACCGAGGUCCCCUUCCCGUUCCUCGCCUCCGCCUGUUUCCAGCCCGUUUCUCCAGUUUCCCCAGUUCACACCUCCCCUCACCCCCCAUGAUCGGCCCCACGCGGAGCUCCAGCCUUGAAUUCCAUGGCCGUUCAUUUCACACUGGGCUAUGAGCUUCCCACGGGCAGGAGCCAGCUCUGCCCCGGCCUCACACCCCCCGCCUCCAACCCUGGGUGGAUGCAUCCCGUUGGUCAGACCUGCGACACGCGCUCACUCCGUUGGGUUCGGCUUUGUGACUUGGUCCCCUCGCCCUGGAAGGUCCAUCCUCGUGGAGCGUGGCAGUGAGGUCCCUUGAACGCAAGACUCUGGGGAUACGUCUGUGGAUGGGUGGAGCGCCUGCUUCGCUGGGUGAGUUAUGCUUUCCUUGGCUAUGUUCUGAGCGGCAUACGGACCUGUGACGGGGGGUGCAGGCUUGGUCUUGAGAACGUAAAGACUAGAGGUGAUCAGAGGAGGGCGAAGGGCUGGAGCGUGCGGAGGGCCUCAGAGGGCCCGCAUGCCCAAAAUGCCCAGAGGCCAGGCCGGUCCUGGCAGCUGCUUCCCGGAGUGGAGGACAAAGCCACUCAGAAGUUACCCAGAGUGAAGAGGCGAGGUCAGCAGGGGCUCGACCCUGGACAGCUGGCCCUCAUCUCUGGGCCCACCCAGGUGGCCACUUUGCAGCUGACCAGACACCAGUCCUUUAGGGCAGCUUGAGUUGGGGCCUGGGGCCACCUUCACACCCCUGCCCCAAGUGAGUCUCUUUCACACAUUAUGCAUAUAAUUGUGUUUUGUCAACUCAUUUCUGUAGUGGAGAAUAAAUAAGGGGGAGCCAUGGGUGUUUUCCCCAUGAAAAAUACUAAGGUCAUAACUAAAAUUUAUUACAUGUAAUGAUUCUCGAGAAAGGAAAUCCAUGUUUAUUGUAAAAGCUUGUAAAAUGCUAAAAAGAACAAGAGGAAGAAUAGGAGUCACCCUGGCCUUGCCACUCAGAGAUGACCACUGCCAACGUUUUGGUGAUCAGCCUCUGGUCUUUUGUUUUACAUAAGGGUGUGUGUGUGUGUGUGUGUGUGUGUGUGUGUGUGUGUGUGUGUACAUAUGUAUGUAUAUUUUUAAUUGGAUUUAUCAUAGUUGUCCUAAUUUUUCACCUGACUGUAUAUACAUCCUGAACAUUUUCUCAUGCCGUAAAGUAGUUUCCCAUCUCAUGGUUUUUUUAAAUGAUGCCAAUAUCCUAAGCUAUUUCAUAAUUGAUUUAAUGGAUCCACUCUUGUGAGAUAUUUACAUGCUUUUUAGAAGUUGGAUGCUGUGAGUUAGGAUGAGCAACGUUGUUUAUGCAUCUUCACAAAUGUCUCUGAUUAUUUUUCCUGCAGUGCAUUCUAAAGGUGGAAUGGCCGUGUCAAAAGAUGUGAGCAUUUUAUGGCCAGAUUCCCUCCUUAACCUUUGUACCAACUUACAUUCUCAGAAUGAGUUUAAGAAGCAGCUGUUUCUCUGGGAAUUAUCAAGGUUUUGAACAUUUGCCAAUUUGUCAAAACAUAAUUUCAUUCUUUUCAUUUUCUGUUCAUUUAGUACCUGUGAUAAGAACAUUUUUCCCCUCAUACCUUCGUUGGUUCUGUGUAUCCGAAUUGCCAGUGAAGUUUCUUUGCAUUUUUCAGUUUUCAUUUAGUUUUAUUUUUGUCAAAGUCAUGCAUAUACCUCAUUCGAAGAGUCAAAUCAUUUUUUUUAAACAAGGUUUUGUAGAAGCAUCAGAGCUCUAGCUUUCCACUCCAACCCCAUAGCCUGCUCCACAGAAGCAACAGCUUUUAAUUGAUUGUCUCGAUACUUUUUUUAUUUGACUCUUUUUUUUAAAUUUUUUUGUUAUGGUUGAUUUAUAGUGUGUCUUGACACUUACAACCCUGUUUCUGAUAACAUUUUUCUAGUUAUCCAAAAACUUUUUUUUUUUUUUUAGUGUAGGCAUUACCUUGACUUUUCAAUAGAAGAUGAAGGUUCGAAUUCUCUUCCAGAAGUGCCUUGGCCUCACCACACACAAGAACAGCUCUCUGUCCCAUCCUUUCAGUAUCUUUAGUUCACAAUUUCGGUUUGGUCAAUCAUCAGUGUUUCUGUUAUUAAAACAGUGCAAACACUCUUGAUAGCUGAAUGGCAGCAUGAAGGUUAUUUACUUCUUAUGGCUUUUUGUUUUCUCUGGAGUUAAUAAUUGUUUUGGUUUUUGUGUGUGUUUUCCCUUCACUCUUUGACUGGUUGCCUAGUUGUUAAUGAACCUAACUUGGCACACAGUUAUCCCGAGCCCCUCCAUACAUCCAAUCCCAUUAGCAUUUGUUUUGUUUUGUUUUGUUUUAAUUUCAAGUGGUUUGAAGAAACCUCUCCAUGGAGCCUCCUUGGCUGUUCUGGAUUGCUUGAUCUUCAGGCUUCGUGCCCUCAUCUUGGGAUGUCCUCCUCGUUUUCUUCCGGAGGAUUCCCUUGACCAUCACUCCGUGGUUGGAUUCCUGAUGUUGUAAAGCCCAUGUUAUCCUUUUUGUUUGUUUGUUUCCCCCCCCCCCCCAUUUAGCUAGAGUGCAUCUUCUGGUAGUUUCCUGAGAAAAGGUUCACGUGAGGUGAAAUGUUAGGGACCUCUUACGUGUGAAAAGGGAAACGCCUAUCCCACACUGAUGCUGAUGGUUUGACUGGGUAUAGACUUCCAGUUGGUACCUUUUUUCCCCUCAGAUUUGGAAAGCAUGAAGAGUUGUCGUCUAACUUUGAGGGCUGUUGAUAAGUCUGCAAGCUCUGUGACUCCUCAUCCUCUGAAUGGGACCUUUCCCCUUCCUGCCUGAACUUGUGUUUUCUCACUGUCUUCUCAUGUUUGGAGUUUCGUGUGUAUCUGUCUUGAUGUAGAUCUACGUUCAUCUGUUUUGCCAGGCCCUUUUGAUCUGAAAAUGAGUGCCCUUCUGUUGUAGGCAGUUUUCUUGAACAAUUCCUUGGAUAAUGUCCUUCUGUUUUCUCUUGCUAGAAUCUAUAUUGUUUGUAUGUUGGAUCUCUUUAACUAGUGCUUUACAAUUCAUGUAUUUUUUCCUCUGAUUUUCAUCUCAAUCUCUUUGUUUCCUGAGAGAUUUAUCUGUCUUCAUCUUUUAACCUCUUUUCAUUUCUGCAAUAUCUGAUUUUCAAGAUUUUAAAAUUAUACCCUAAAUAUUACUUUAUAACAGUUUCUUUCAUGGAUGGAAUUGCUUCUUUGAUUGUCCUUUUAAUAUUAAUAAUAGGUUUUCUGAAAUUUUCUUUCUCUUAAAGAGUCUCCAAGCUUGUUUCUUUCUUUUCUUCCUUCUAAGUGUUUCUCUAACUUUCAUGUUAGGUGCUUUGCUCAACUCUCUGGUCAUAUAGAGAGAUAUAUAGAUAUAGAUGAUAUAGAUAAAGGUAUAGAUUUAUAUAUGUUUAUUUAAAUUUGAUAUGUAAAUAUAUAUAUGAAAGCGAGUGGGUGAACAUCUAUAUUGACCACAUUGAACUCAAAAUUGUGUACCUAUUUUUUUCCUCUGUGUAUCUUUUAUUUUUAAUUUAUAAGACCUUUCAAAAUAAGAAUGGCGAUUUUUCUUUCCACCCUAUAUUACCAUUUUUCCCCCAGUUUUCAUUUGCCAUUCCAUUUUGUUUGUGGAGCUUUUCAAUUUUUCAUUUAAAAAAUUUAUAUUCAAAAAUCUAUUACCAAUUAUUUCUUUUCUUUAUUUCUAUUUUUUCUUCUUUGCUUAGAAAGACCUCUCCUACCCCAGGCUCAUCUAAUUAGUCACUUUAAUUUUUUUCUAGUUCUUUCAUGAUUUCAUCUUUAUAUUGACUCUUUAAUCCUUUCGUUAUUGUGAGAAGCAGCUGUGUGCCCCAUUUCCACAUUUACAAUAUGCUAGAUACUUCUGUAGUUUUUGUUUCUUGCUGUGGCUCUCUAUUAUGCCAUUAAUCUCUCUAUUCUUACCCUAGUAUUGAUUUGUUAUAAUAUAUUGCAUUGUUAUAACAAAUAUUAUUAUUUGAUAGCAGUAGUCUUUUUUCAUUCUUGUUUUUCUUGAUUCGUCUCACUUGUUUAUUCUUCCAGGUGAAUUUUAGUGAUGCGAUGAGGUUAAAACCAUUCAUUAUAGAUUUUCUGUGGAACUUUAUAAAAUUGUAAAUUAAAGAGAAUUGAUAUUUUUGAUAUUUGGGCUUUGCAUAUGUUACACUUUGAUAUAUACACAAUUUGUCAACUUUGACACAUUCACAGUUUGUCAUUAGGUGUAUUUCAAGGAAUUAAGUAUUGCUUCUAUUAUGAAUGUUUUCUUAUAUUUUCUAACUGGUUAUUACUGGUAUGUAGGGAAGAGAUUGUGUAUUUAUUGUUAUUGUCUCUCUCGUUGAAUUCUCUGAUAUGUUUUAUAAUUUUUAGUUGAAUGUUUUGGAAUUUCUAGGUAAAGAGUCAUUCAUAUCUAUAGCAUUAUAUCAAAUUUGAGAAAUAUUUUAUCUCUUCUAUUUCUCUUUUUUGUCUUAUCAUAUUGGCUAGAUCUUCCAAAACAUGGAAUUGCUGAUAAUGGAAAUCUUUGUCUCAUUUCUGGCUCAUGUUAAGUAUGAUGACACAUAAUUUUUUAGGCUGUAUGUUUUUUAUAAUGCUAAUGAAGUAUUUAUUUCUAGUUUAUGUAUGAUUAAAAUUGGGAAUGGAUUUAGCGUUUUGUGAAAUUUUUUGAUAUCUGUAGUGAUAUUCUUGUUUUCUCUGUUGACCUGUUGAUGCAAUGAAUUAUAAUAAUGUUUCAUAACUCUGAAACAUUUUUGAAUCAAAUUCUACCUGGUUAUGGCAUAUUGUUCUUUAAUAUACUACAUGAUACUACAUGAUUUGCCCUGCUAGUAUUUCAUUUAGGACUUCUCAAAUUAAUUUUUUGUUCACUUGAUAUCAGAGUUAUGCUGGCUUUGUAAAAUGAAUCAGGGGACAUUCCAUCCUUUUCUAUAUUCUGUACCAUACAAACAUCAUUUAAAUGAUUUAUUCCAUGAAAGCUUGAACGAACUCAGCCAUAUAACUCUCUUGUAAUAAUUCUGGCAACUUUUCCUAUUUCUUCUGUAUUUAUUGGAUUCCUUUAGGUUUUUCUACAUCUUUAGAAUGUUUGCUUCUUUUUCUAAUACAACUCAAUGUUUAAAUGUGCAGAGACUGGAAUCAGACAACUUGGGUUCAAAUUCCUGCUCUGUCAUUUCUCAUGUGACCUCAGGAAAACUAUGUCUUCUCCCUAAUUCUUAGUUUCUGCAUUUGUUAAAUGGUUAAUGAGAGCAUGUAGCUAAGAGGGCCACUGUGAGCAUUAAAGAGAUAAAGUAUAUUGCACUGCGCCUGACACAUAGUGAGUGCUCCAUGAUUUUUUUAAGCUAAUAUUAAUCCGAGAAAAUAAUCUAUUUUUCUGAGAUUUAAAUAUUUCUUAGAAUAGACUUAUAAAUACUAUUUUAAAAUAGAAUUUAUCUAUUUCUAUGACUAUGUCAUCUUUUUCAUUCUCAAUUUUGCGUAUGUGUACUUUAUCUCUUUUUUACUAGGUGAGCUAGAGGAGCGUCUGUUUUAGAGGUUUUUCGAGGAAUUAGUUCUUGGAGUAAUUUGUCAAUUUAACUGUUCAUUUGUGUGUGUGUGUGUGCACGCACACAUAUUCAAAUUCAACAAUAUCUGCCUUUAUCUCUGUUGAUUCCUUCCUUCUGCUUUUCUUAAGCUUGUUUUAUGGAUCUAUCCUCAUGUCCCUUAUGUUAUUCUUCUUUAAUAAUGAAAACAUCUCACAGUAUGAAUUUGCCUCUGGUUGCAAUUUUGACUGCAUGUUAUAUGUUUUAAUAUGUAGUCUUUUCAAUAUUUUAAAAUAUUUGUAAUUGUGCUUUUCAUUUCUUUUUGUUCUUAGAAGAAAUGAUUAUCUGAAUUAAAUGUGCAAAAGUAGAGCUUUUUUAAAAUUAAUUUCUAAUUUAUUUGGGUUGUGUAUUGUUGCUUAUAUCUUUUUAUUCAAUUUUGGUCAUAUUCCAUUGUGGAUUGAGAAUGUGGACACACAAAAAUUCUACUUUGGGGAAUUUACGGAUGUCUUCUUUGUGCCUUAUAUAAUCAAUUAUGUGAAUGUUUCACAGGCCUUUCAAAGUAAGAUAUGCAUCUUCUUUAUAGGAUACAGAUUUUGGUGCAAAGACAUUUAGCUUUACUAUCUCUUCAGUUGAUUCUUUGGGAUUUUCUUGGUAAAGAGUUAAGUAAUCUAUACGUAACCAUAUUUUAAACCUCAUUCUAAUAGUUUAGAACAUUUAUCUCUUGUUUUGUUAUACUGGUCAGCGCUUUUUGGAGCAUGUUAACUAAUAUUGAUGAAGCAAGCAUCUUUUCUUCAUUUCUCAUUUUUUGUUCAGUAUGAUUUUGCUUGCCUCUAGGUUUGAGGUGUGUUUAUCAUUUGCUUGCUGCCUAUUUGAUGUCUUUAGGAUUGAGAAGGCUCUGGAACGUGUGUUUCUGUUUCCCCAUCUUAGGGUAGAGUUUUAUUCCUAUGUAAAUAUUCGUGAAUGUCAUAUGGUUGCUGUGGAUGGUACCUUCUGUCUCGGGUGGUUUUCUUCCACCUGUUUAAUGACUUUGCUCUUGGGUACUUGAAAUUGCAGAAGUACCUCUGCUUUAUUUUCAUGUGUGUUCCUGAGUUAGGUAACCCUGCUUGCUCAUGUAAUUGUUUCUGGAAGUCUGUAUUCAAGGCAGAGUGUUGUUUGAAAGCUGAACCAGACACUUGCAUGUUCCAAAGAAUUCUGCUCCUCGAGAGCUCAGUAUUCUGUACCUUUCCAGGCAAUUUCUAGCAUUCCACAGAUGUUCUUUAAUUCUUUUCUUUCCAAACACAUAGUUGACUGCCUUCAAUUCGAUUAUUGAGGCUAAGGAUUGGCUCCAUUGGGUUUGUCUAAUGAUUUCCAUCUUUGUCUUAAUUUCUUAAGUAUAUACACAAUCUGUGCUCUUACCACAGAUAGCGGCAAUUUUAUUUUUCCAUUUUCCACUAUUUUUAUAAAACAAUAAGAGCAGAAUGUACUUAAAUACUGGUUUUCAAAUACAGCCAAACCCUUUGUUCAGACCAAAUAGUACCCAGAAUCCCAAUAAGUAAAAUAGAUCAAAUCAAAACUGCCCCGUGUGGAGCUGGGCAGAGACCUGGAGCUGUAGGCACCAUCCUGACAGUGACGGGGUGAUGGGGUGGUGGGGUGGGAGGGUUGUGCCCCUCAGAAUACUGUCUAAAAACCUCUGCAAUGAGAUAUUUAAGCAAUUGCACAAGCAAACGGAACAAAUUGCUGCGUAUGCAGAACUGGGGAUCCUGUUGAUCAGGAGUUGAUUGCUGGCAUUCGGCCGCUAUGUAAAUUCCAUGGUUUUUUGAGAUGUUAGUGCAUGAUUGUGUGGGCUGCCUGAGAGUCAAACGCAUGAAAAUUGAGGCCUGUCCCUUGGAUUUGAGGGGGUCUUUUGAGUGAAUUUCUUUAAAGUGUGCCUCAAGUAGACAACAUACAGUUGGAUUUGAGAAUGUUUGGUGUGAAUUAAAAACUCCCUCUUUUAAGGGUGUGUAACUCAUUUACAUUUUUUUCCUGGAUUGUCUUGUCUGAAUGUAACAAUACUGCACUUAAUGCUGUUUUUUUUUUUUUUUUUUUUCUUCAUCCUUCUUUCUUUCCUGCUGUCUUUUAUUAUAUUAUACAGGCUACAUUUUUUCUUUAAAAUUUUUUUUUUCUUGAAUUUCUGUUGUGGCUCAGCGGUAACAAACCUGACCAGUAUCUGUGAGGACAUGGGUUCGAUCCCCGGCCUCGCUCUGUGGGUUAAGGAUCUGGCAUUGCUGUGAGCUGUGGUGUAGGUUAGAGAUGCUGCUCAGAUACUGAGUUGCUGGGGCUGUGGCAUAGGCUGGCAGUGGUAGCUCUGACUUGACCCCUAGCCUGCGCACCUCCACAUGCUGCUAGUGCGGCCCUAAAAAGCCAAAAAAAAAAAAAAUUCUGAUGAUUCAGAAAGCAUACAUCCAGUUUCUAAGUCUAUUAUUGCUCACAUCUCAGUUAAAACAAACAAACAAACAUGCUUACAUGUGUAUUUCCCAGUGGCUUUAAAAAAAAAAAAAAAA
This is a non-coding RNA of Sus scrofa (pig), 14302 nucleotides long. The record is from RefSeq and is a predicted model, not a curated record. NCBI's taxonomy places the organism in Eukaryota, Metazoa, Chordata, Mammalia, Artiodactyla, Suidae.